UGGGGAAUAUUGCACAAUGGGCGCAAGCCUGAUGCAGCCAUGCCGCGUGUAUGAAGAAGGCCUUCGGGUUGUAAAGUACUUUCAGCGGGGAGGAAGGGAGUAAAGUUAAUACCUUUGCUCAUUGACGUUACCCGCAGAAGAAGCACCGGCUAACUCCGUGCCAGCAGCCGCGGUCAUACGGAGGGUGCAAGCGUUAAUCGGAAUUACUGGGCGUAAAGCGCACGCAGGCGGUUUGUUAAGUCAGAUGUGAAAUCCCCGGGCUCAACCUGGGAACUGCAUCUGAUACUGGCAAGCUUGAGUCUCGUAGAGGGGGGUAGAAUUCCAGGUGUAGCGGUGAAAUGCGUAGAGAUCUGGAGGAGUACCGGUGGCGAAGGCGGCCCCCUGGACGAAGACUGACGCUCAGGUGCGAAAGCGUGGGGAGCAAACAGG
Molecule: ribosomal RNA, 429 nt
Filed under: Chloroflexota bacterium
Lineage: Bacteria; Bacillati; Chloroflexota
Description: Chloroflexi bacterium partial 16S ribosomal RNA
Rfam family: Bacterial small subunit ribosomal RNA
Source: RNAcentral